This 624-nucleotide ribosomal RNA is filed under the name uncultured bacterium. RNAcentral's name for it is "bacterial SSU rRNA". It matches the Rfam family "Bacterial small subunit ribosomal RNA", at positions 195 to 807 of the family's 1533-position model. The record is from RNAcentral.
GAAAGUUGAAAGGCGCUUUUGCGUCACUGAUGGAUGGGCCCGCGGUGCAUUAGCUAGUUGGUGAGGUAACGGCUCACCAAGGCCACGAUGCAUAGCCGACCUGAGAGGGUGAUCGGCCACACUGGGACUGAGACACGGCCCAGACUCCUACGGGAGGCAGCAGUAGGGAAUCUUCGGCAAUGCACGAAAGUCUGACCGAGCAACGCCGCGUGAGUGAAGAAGGUUUUCGGAUCGUAAAACUCUGUUGUUAGAGAAGAACAAGGAUGAGAGUAGAACGUUCAUCCCUUGACGGUAUCUAACCAGAAAGCCACGGCUAACUACGUGCCAGCAGCCGCGGUAAUACGUAGGCGGCAAGCGUUGUCCGGAUUUAUUGGGCGUAAAGCGAGCGCAGGCGGUUUCUUAAGUCUGAUGUGAAAGCCCCCGGCUCAACCGGGGAGGGUCAUUGGAAACUGGGAGACUUGAGUGCAGAAGAGGAGAGUGGAAUUCCAUGUGUAGCGGUGAAAUGCGUAGAUAUAUGGAGGAACACCAGUGGCGAAGGCGGCUCUCUGGUCUGUAACUGACGCUGAGGCUCGAAAGCGUGGGGAGCGAACAGGAUUAGAUACCCUGGUAGUCCACGCCGUAAAC